This 254-nucleotide ribosomal RNA is filed under the name uncultured bacterium. Its description in RNAcentral is "partial 16S ribosomal RNA". It matches the Rfam family "Bacterial small subunit ribosomal RNA", at positions 524 to 776 of the family's 1533-position model. The record is from RNAcentral.
UACGGGGGGGGGUAAGCGUUGUUCGGAAUUACUGGGCGUAAAGGGCUCGUAGGCGGCCAACUAAGUCGGACGUGAAAUCCCUCGGCUUAACCGGGGAACUGCGUCUGAUACUGGAUGGCUUGAGUUUGGGAGAGGGAUGCGGAAUUCCAGGUGUAGCGGUGAAAUGCGUAGAUAUCGAGAGGAACACCUGCGGCGAAGGCGGGUUGCUGGGCUGAUACUGACGCUGAGGCGCGAAAGCCAGGGGAGCGAACGGG